UUGGUAAGCUACUGAAACUGUAAAUGGCUUCCAGAAAUGAUUCCAGGCUGGACAGAAUGGCUCAUCAUUGUCUGUCACUGAAAUUGCAUGACUGUAGUAUCUGCAUUUUUUCCUUCAAUUAAAAAGUAAUAUUGAUAAAAAUUGGGUAGGGGAUUUCUUUAACCUUGGUUGGCAACCCUCUUGUGAUAGCAUUAGAGGUACAUGAGAACCAGUCUCUCUCCUGUCCUCCUGAGUGCCAAUCCAGAUCCCUCUUGCAGCUCCAGAACAUUUGUUUUGUACAUAUUCCAAAUAAACUAUUAAACUGCUGUUUUGUCUCUCUAAUUCUGUCCACACUCAGAGUCGAUGAAGGCUAAAGUUGAGUGGACUAGCUGGUCAUCAUGGAUUGAAGAACUAGGAACAUCUUGGCAGUGAAUGGAUGUCUGCACACCAGAAAUAUUGUUGUAGGAUGGUACCUAAGGAAAAUGGGAGAGCGGUGACUAGCAGUGAAGAGUGUUUCCUGUGUGACAUAAAGAUGACCACUGAUCCUGUUAAUGGUGAAAAGACCAACAGGGUGUUGAUCUGCUCCAGGACCAGUGAUGCUGUAAUGAAUCAUCUUUACAUUGUCUGCAUCAGAGCGUAUCUGGAAAACACAGACCAGGGUUGACUUGAGACAAGUUUAAAGCGCAACAAAGAAUUGCCACUGGAUAUCUGUGUGAACCGGCCAUUUAAAGUGGCACUGCACCUUGAGUGGGAGGAUUGGAUGACGAGUGGCGAGAAAUCCUUCACCAAAACAGGCUGCAUGCGAAGAGGAUCUUUCACUCAAGUCUGCUAGUGGAUCCUAAUUGCGUGGAGCCAUGUCAAAACAUCCACCAUCACCAACGGGUUUCGAAAGGCUGGACUGCUGCGUGAUGAAGAGGACCGGAUGUGCUCAAGUGAGAGCGACAACAAAGAGGUUGAAGUGAGUGACGAGAUCCUGAGGCUGUUCAAUUCGGACACUGAAGAAGAGGACUGAUGGUUUCAGUGCGCAGGAAGAAGAUGAAGAAGGCGAUCAAUGACUUUUGACCUGGUUGGCUGCAGUGUAUAUCAGUCGUUAGGAGAUAUUGGAAUGUUGUUCGUGCACUGUUCAGUGAAGAAAUAUGGAAGAAGUACCUUGACUUUAGACCUGCCUCUCACUCGGACUGCUAAUAACGACAACGAAGAAACUGAAGUGAGUGACGAGAUCCCAGAAGAGGAGAUAUUGGAAUGUUGUUUGUGCACUGUUCAGUAAAAAAGCAUAAGUAAUGUAAUUUGUGUGUUACUGAUACGUAUGUAUAUUUAAAGGUAGCCGUGUUACAGGCACUGUUCGAAAAAAAGGAUUUGCAAUAUGUAUUUGUUUAUAGUUGUUUAUAUUUAAAUGACUAAAGCCAAUUCAACAGCGAUCCAGAGGUAAUUCUGUCUACACAUGUGCGAAUGAACUGACGGUAUGGAUCGUACUUCUGGACAGAUUGGGUAGUGACAUUAAUGACUCCUCCAAAUUAACAUCCCCCCUGAAACCCUGUUGACUUUUUAUUUCCAGCUCCUCCAAUCGCAGAGAUGACCCUCCUAUAUAAACUCUCCUCAUCUGUUUACAGGUGUGGCUGUGUUUAAAAGACGUUCAACUUCUUUUUCUGUCCACACAACCGAACAUUCUGGCGCCAUGUUUAAUACCCAACAGGAAAUCGUCAUUGUUUUGAAGCUUUCUUGUAAAAGCUUUCUGUACAUGGU
Girardinichthys multiradiatus is the source of this 1722-nucleotide long non-coding RNA. RefSeq lists it as uncharacterized. The transcript is spliced from 3 exons. The record is from RefSeq and is a predicted model, not a curated record. NCBI's taxonomy places the organism in Eukaryota, Metazoa, Chordata, Actinopteri, Cyprinodontiformes, Goodeidae.